GCUUGGUGCGGCCCCGGCUGGGCAGUCUGGUCAAUCCUGCCCUUGGGAACCCGCAUCCCGCCCCUCCCCGAGCGCCGCGCCUCGUGACGGUGAAUUAGAAAUUGAGCUAUUAAGAGAGAAUCGUCUGCACGGAAUUAUGUUCUUGCAGAGGUUGGAAAAGGAUGACCUGAAAUCAGAAGAUAAUUGAAUAUGCAGGUGAAAUGGAUGUAAGUUACUCUCAGGAUACUGUUUUUGGGUAUAUGAAAAUAAGCAUUUUGCAAGCUUUAAGGUAACAAGUUACUUCAGUGUGUGUGUAUGCGUAUAUAUUUACUUUGAAAAUAAUUUAAAACUAAAUAGUUUCCUGUUAAUACAUUGGAUCCAAAGACAAAAAUCACUGUGCACUUAAGGUUAUAUAUUCUUUUAGAGGAAGUGACAGCAUUUACAGAGAUAGCAGGAUCAAAAAAGGCUU
RNAcentral lists this long non-coding RNA (448 nucleotides) under Vombatus ursinus (common wombat). RNAcentral's name for it is "lncRNA (ENSVURG00010010085.1)". Lineage: Eukaryota; Metazoa; Chordata; Mammalia; Diprotodontia; Vombatidae. The record is from RNAcentral.